This 253-nucleotide ribosomal RNA is filed under the name uncultured bacterium. RNAcentral's name for it is "partial 16S ribosomal RNA". It matches the Rfam family "Bacterial small subunit ribosomal RNA", at positions 524 to 776 of the family's 1533-position model. The record is from RNAcentral.
UACGUAGGGGGCUAGCGUUGUCCGGAUUUAUUGGGCGUAAAGAGCGUGUAGGCGGUUUGGUAGGUCCGUUGUGAAAACUCGAGGCUCAACCUCGAGACGCCGAUGGAAACCAUCAGACUAGAGUCCGGAAGAGGAGAGUGGAAUUCCCGGUGUAGCGGUGAAAUGCGCAGAUAUCGGGAAGAACACCGGUGGCGAAGGCGGCUCUCUGGGACGGUACUGACGCUGAGACACGAAAGCGUGGGGAGCGAACAGG